Molecule: long non-coding RNA, 3653 nt
Organism: Equus caballus (horse)
Lineage: Eukaryota; Metazoa; Chordata; Mammalia; Perissodactyla; Equidae
Source: Ensembl
GGUGGUUCGUUUACCUAAGUGUUACAACAGACACGCAGACAGGACUCAGAGGAGGGCACGUGUGGGCUGGGCUUCAAAGACUAUGUAGGAAUCCACCAUGAGAUGUGGGAGGGUAUUCCAGGCAUGGACACAGUGCUGCACCUGGAACGCGGGAUGGCUGCUGUGGCCAUGAGAGGACGGAUGACAGGAGGAGAAGGGAAGGAGGCUGCCAGGGGAGAGGCCAGCUGUGGAAAGGAAUUCUGACUGUUUCCUUAGGGGAUGGAAGCCAUUAUGUUUAAGCAAUCGGGUGAUAUAAUCAGAGGUGAGAGGAAGAAAGAACCAAAAAGGCAGCAUGCAGACUUGGCCAGUAGGGGAUAACAGAGCACGCAAGGCUGACAGAUUGCUAGGAGGCCAGCGUGAGUCUUGUGAACCAUGAUUGUCUGCCGUGCAGCCCAUUGGAUCAGUCAGUGUUCUAUUGGGAAGCUGCUGAUCAGUGGUUACUUACUGGUUGGUUAGGUAGAAAUAAUUUUUCCACAUUUCUCUCGUAAUUACAGACUCUUUGGCCAAUAUAAGAUUUUUUUUUAGCCACACAAGGAAAUAAAUCACUAUAUUUAUGUAAUAAUAACGAAAAUGUAGAGGACACUGGGAUGCAUGACCCAGACCUCACCUCUGUACUGAAGGAAUUAUUCCUCCAGCUGCUGGGAGGGCUGCCAGCAGACAGCCCUCAAUUCUUAGUCCCCUUUGAGGAUUGCAUCAGCUGAAGAAAGCUGCCUCUCCUCAGAUCACAGUGGCUUCUUGGGGCAUCCCACAUCCAAUGACCAACUUCUGUGAGGGUAUAAAUGCCUGGCCUCCUUUUCCCAAUUUGUGGUAACUCUGAGAGGCCCUCCCCAUUUUAAAGCUCCUGUAAUGUUGCUGAGACCUCUGCUGAGGCUGCGCUGUGGCCCACUUCUUCCUCUGCCUGGCCCCACUGCCUUCCCUUCCCUUCCACGUGUGUUCAUCCUGAGAGCACUCCCGGAUGUGGUUUCUGCAAGCACAUCCCCACCUCAGCUGCUGCUGGGGGCCUGUCUGGGGCAAAUGAUAAUUGUAGCUAACGUUUACUCGUGCCUGACAGCGAGAGGGAAUUUAUAUACUCAGACUCUUUUCAUUCUUAUGAUAAUCGUGGGUAGUGGUAGCCCAUAAUAAUAUUACCACACCAUUGCAUGGGUGCCAAACAACUUUCCUGUCUAUGUCCUAGGUAAACUUAAUCCUUCCUAGGAGAGGGCAGGACAUGGAUUCCCAACCCCUUUAGACAUAUUAGGAACUGAGGCGUACAGAGAAAUAAUCUUUCCAAGAUCAGAAAUCCGCAAAUGUUGCAGAGUUGUCUAACUUUCUGCUCAUUUCCACUGCAUGUUGAUAUUCCCAUUUCUGAUCAUGCUUUUUAAUAUACUAAUAUUCCAGGCAGUCUGAGCCCAGGAUUUCUAUCCCUGGUCUGAAAGCUGGGCAUUUAUCAGCCAGUGCCCACCUUUUAAACUCUCCACUCAAAACGUGUGGCCUAAGACAAAAGGGACAGGAUGGCUCUUCCAUGGUACCAGGGUCCAGGAGACCCUGAGCAUCUAACCCAGGGAUUUGAAACUGUUUCCUACAGAGCUGCCUCAGGGGCACUCGAGAGAAAAGGACAGGGAAAAACGAAGAGAAAAAGGGAAAAAAGAGGAUGGGGAAACAGGGCCUGAGAGGGAAAGAAGAAGAGAGGCUAAGGAGGAGGCAGGAGGAGGGAGAGAAAGGAAGGGAUGGAGGGUGAGCAGGGCGGGAGGGGGUAGAGAGAGAGGGGUUUAGGGGGGAGGGGAGAGAAAGUGAGUGUGGGGGAGGGGAGGAAAGAACAAGAGGCUGCCGGGCUGCUCUAUGAAAUAAGAAAUAAACAACAGCCACUUUCCUGCCCAUGAGGCAGCCAUGUUAUUUGGGGCGUUGAAUUCCUCAGGACAGGGUUCUUUAUCAUCUGGAAUAACAGACCCGCCGGUGGACGGAGCAGGCAGGCGCGGGCCGGGGGUGCAACUCCUCGCUCCCCUGGCGAUGGGCAGCCUGCUGUCUGUGUCAGCACAGGGAAGCCCGCCCGGGAAGGCAUCCUCCAGGGGGCACUGGGGCCAAGAGGGCUCUCAGCUGGUGCUGAGUGAGCUGUUCAAAGUAAACAAAGGCUCCGGGCCAGUGGGACCCUCCUGUUGGUGGUAACGCAGACAGGACGAGAGCCCUGCAAGGAGCUUGGUGUUUUCAGCUCUCCAGUUGCUUUGAAAGAAAGAAAGAAGGAAAGAAGCAGAGCCACAGCGUGCAAUUUAUUAUUCUUUAGGACGUAAUAGCUAACAGCUCCAAAAACAUUCUGGACGUGCUGCACAGCUCAUCAAGGAGAACGUCAGCCCCGAAUGCGGGGAGGAUAAACACCUCAGGUAUCAGGGUGCUGGCUGGUGUGGGGCCAUGCUAGGGGACCAGCUCUGUGCCUGCCUCUCCUGGGGCCGGGGACAGCACUCACCCACCAGCUCCUCAGUGCCUCAACAUCCUCUUUGCUCCUGUAAUAGGAAGCAUUCUAGUCGGAUCAGACUCAAGCUGAAGUCCUAAUGUCCUAGGUGAAUUCAAGAGUCUCUUCGAGAUUUAGCAUUAAACAAGCCUUCAAAAACACACAUGAGGAGAGGUCCUGAGAGGCCAGGUGGGUCCCAGGGCUGGGCACAAGAUAAACCAAUAUUUGUUGAGUGAAUGGGUGAAGAGAAGGCAGCUUAGGAGGGGGCUACGGCCCACCUUCACCCUCAAGGGGAGGGGAAACUGUUCCUUCUCCCAUUACCCGCAGCUCUGGGCCCUCUAAGUCUCCCCGGGGGUCAGGAAACUUUCAUUUGUGGUGGUGAACGCAGCAGGCAGCCUUGGGGCCAGGAGCAGGCAGACAGGCAGCGGGGAGACUGCCAGGGGCUUGGGGCACGCGGUCCACUGCAGGGAGCGCCAGAAUGUACACUCGAGGCAGCCUCAGCCUGGGCUAGGAUCCCAUGUGGAAGACCCAGGUUUGCCAGCUGCCUGCUGUGGAGACCCUGAGCAGAUCUCUGCCCCCGAGAAGCACAGCCUGUCCUGGUGUUGACUCUGCCUGUGUCCCCUUGGCUUUCCGUGCUCUGCCACAGCGCCACGGGCCGGCCUUGGUGCAGCCUCUCUUCAUCUCUCUCCAGGACGGUCCUUCCAGCCUCCUCACUGUUCUCGUUGCCUUCAGCCUUGCCCUGCUCCGCUCCACCCUCGGUGCUGCCUCCUCUAAAGUGCUCUUCUAGCGUGCUGAUCAGAUGGGGCCUCUCUCUGGCACAUAACCCUCAUGUCUGUAGUCCCGCUGCCUCAGGUGGAAGUCCAAGCGUUCAAGACCUCGUGGGCACCGGUCCUUGCUCACAGUUCCAGUUUCAGCACCUGAGUCUGCUUGUCUGCAUGCACCUUAGGUUCGAGCUGCUUUAUUCCCAGAAGGCACCACUUUCUCAGAUGCAUGUACCUUUGCAUGUGCUGUUCCUUCCGCACGUGCUCUUCCAAAACUUGUCUCAAGCCUCUGCUCUGUCUGGAGGACAGAGCUCGGGGAAGGCCUCAUGGACAAGCAAAUCCCUUCCUUUUAUACACAGUCCCACUGCAGCCUCCACUGCCUGCAACACUCUCUGUGGGGAGACACGUGAAAACAGACUCCACGAGAGCCA